AUUGAACGCUGGCGGCAGGCCUAACACAUGCAAGUCGAACGGAAAGGCCCUGCUUUUGUGGGGUGCUCGAGUGGCGAACGGGUGAGUAACACGUGAGUAACCUGCCCUUGACUUUGGGAUAACUUCAGGAAACUGGGGCUAAUACCGGAUAGGAGCUCCUGCUGCAUGGUGGGGGUUGGAAAGUUUCGGCGGUUGGGGAUGGACUCGCGGCUUAUCAGCUUGUUGGUGGGGUAGUGGCUUACCAAGGCUUUGACGGGUAGCCGGCCUGAGAGGGUGACCGGCCACAUUGGGACUGAGAUACGGCCCAGACUCCUACGGGAGGCAGCAGUGGGGAAUAUUGCACAAUGGGCGGAAGCCUGAUGCAGCAACGCCGCGUGCGGGAUGACGGCCUUCGGGUUGUAAACCGCUUUCGCCUGUGACGAAGCGUGAGUGACGGUAAUGGGUAAAGAAGCACCGGCUAACUACGUG
Molecule: ribosomal RNA, 468 nt
Filed under: uncultured bacterium
Lineage: Bacteria
Description: partial 16S ribosomal RNA
Rfam family: Bacterial small subunit ribosomal RNA
Source: RNAcentral